UUUGUAAUGAAUGAUCCAGGAUCCAAAAGUUCUUCGCGGAGUUCAAAGACAGUUGCAAUGUGUUUGCUAAUUUAGUGACAGAUUAAGAAAGAAGUUCAAACAAGCAUUGUCAUGGGAAAACAUGAAAAAGGAAGAAGUUGGAGGUGGACAAAAAUCAGGAUGAAUAUACUAGAGAAACUAUUAAAGCACAGAAGAAUGACAACAAUAUAAAUCUAAAUGUAAUCAUUCAAGGAAUUAAAUUCAUUUUUAAUCUCGAAA
This is a long non-coding RNA of Magallana angulata, 258 nucleotides long. RefSeq lists it as uncharacterized. The transcript has 3 exons. The record is from RefSeq and is a predicted model, not a curated record. NCBI's taxonomy places the organism in Eukaryota, Metazoa, Mollusca, Bivalvia, Ostreida, Ostreidae.